This 618-nucleotide ribosomal RNA is filed under the name Triticum aestivum (bread wheat). Its description in RNAcentral is "partial small subunit ribosomal RNA". The record is from RNAcentral. Lineage: Eukaryota; Viridiplantae; Streptophyta; Magnoliopsida; Poales; Poaceae.
AUGAUAUGUGAACAUGAGUAUCCUCUAUCUAUUGUGGAUAAGUUUGAGAAGUAUUGGAAGGAUAAGUUUGAGAAGUAUUGGAAGGAUAUCCAUGGUCUUAUGUCCGUUGUAACAGUUCUUGAUCCAAGGUAUAAACUUCAUAUCCUCAAUGCUCUUUAUGGUCCCCUCUAUGGAAGAGAGCAUGCAGCCGCAGAAAUAGAAAAGGUGAAGAAGUUAUUGAUUCAAUUGGUGAAGCAAUAUAAAGAUGAAGUUGGAGGUGAGGAUGCAUGGGAUGCUUCUGUUGUUGAGCAACUUGGAGAAGAAGAUGAAGCCAUGAAACUCUAUGAUCUGUAUUUGUCUAGUCACCCCACUGUCCCUUCUUCUUCAAUCCAUACAGAAUUGGACUUGUAUUUAGAAGAAGCUCGUCUACCUAGAACGCAAGAAUUGGAUAUCAUCAAUUGGUGGAAGGUUAGCGGCUCUAGGUUUCCUACCUUGCAAAAACUUGCUCGUGAUAUAUUGCCUAUUCCCAUAACAUCGGUGGCUUCCGAAUGUGCGUUUAGCACUAGUGGCAGAGUACUCGCACAUCGUAGUAGACUUACUCCUAGUGUGGCUGAAGCUCUCAUGUGCAUGCAAGCUUGA